RNAcentral lists this ribosomal RNA (1218 nucleotides) under Triticum aestivum (bread wheat). RNAcentral describes it as "partial small subunit ribosomal RNA". The record is from RNAcentral. Lineage: Eukaryota; Viridiplantae; Streptophyta; Magnoliopsida; Poales; Poaceae.
AUGAAACGCCAACAACGCAGCGAGGUGGACGCCGGAAUAUGCCGCCGCCGUAGCCCACGCCUUCAUCCCCAAAUCCACGCCAGUGAUGAGAGUGCCACAGUGGCCAGCCGACGCAGCACGCGUCUCCAUCCCCAGAUCCACACGAGCGACGAGGGAGCCCGAGUAAUCCGCCGCCCCCGCGGCACCUUGCUGGACAACAACCAUGAUAUGCUCUGGGAGAUCCUACUCCGCCUCCCGCCGCAGCCGUCCUCCCUCCUGCGUGCAUCCGCCGUCUGCAAGCGUUGGCGAUGCGUGGCCACUGACCCCGAGUUCCUCCGCUGCUUCCGUGCCCACCACCGGAAGGCACCCCUCCUCGGCUUGCUCGUGUGUCGCAACAGCCACAAGAACGUGUUCCACCCCGUCCUGAAUCCUCCCGACCGCAUCCCUCAGAAGCGCUUCACCCUUGGAUGCUACAGUAAAGUACGUUACGGUGUGCUCAGUUGCCGCCAUGGUCGCAUCCUCGUCAAAGACUCAAAGAAUAAAGAGGUCGUUCUGUGCGACCCCAUCACAGGCGAGCGGCACCGCAUGCCCAUUCCACCGGCGUUCAACAUGAACAAUCUCAGCGGGGCGGUGCUGUGCGUCGCCGGCGACCAGGGCCAUGUGCACGGCAGCUGCCACUCUAGCCCCUUCAAAGUGGUUCUGUUGUCCAUGUACGUUCAUGAUGAUCGACGACCUCUGGUCCGUGUUUUCUCCUCACAGACCGGCAGAUGGGGCAAUCUCAUCUCAAUAGAGACUCAACCUAACACAAUGUAUGGUCCUUGUUGCCCCGACACCCUUGUUGGCAAUGUCAUUUACUGGUUGUCUAGGAGAGACGAUAUAGUUCAGUUUGAUUUGGAGGGGCAGAACCUUACCCUGAUCAAGGGGCCUCACAGUAUGAAUGAUUUUAGCAUAUGCCAGUGUCAGAUUAUACAGACAGAUGAGAGGAUUGUUGGUGUUGCCAUGUUAUCUAACGAUAACAUUCAAGUGUGGCAGAGGGAGGUCAAUCCUGAAGGUGUUUCCAUAUGGGUGUCCCAAAAGACAGUUGAAUUGCGUAACAUUAUUAAGACCCUUCCUCAAAAUUGGGAAACUAUGCCAUGGACCAAACUAGUGGGGUAUGAUGACGAUACCAAUGCAAUCUUUUUAUAUAUGCAUGAUAGUGCCUAUAUGGUUCAACUCAAAUCAAUGCAUUCCACAAAACUU